CCUACGGGAGGCACCAGUGGGGAGUAUUGCACAAUGGGCGCGAGCCUGAUGCAGCCAUGCCGCGUGCAUGAAGAAGGCCUUAGGGUUGUAAAGUACUUUCAGUUGGGAGGAAGGCCUUGAUGCUAAUAUCAUCAACGAUUGACGUUACCAACAGAAGAAGCACCGGCUAACUCCGUGCCAGCAGCCGCGGUAAUACGGAGGGUGCAAGCGUUAAUCGGAAUUACUGGGCGUAAAGCGCACGCAGGCGGUUGAUUAAGUUAGAUGUGAAAUCCCCGGGCUUAACCUGGGAAUGGCAUCUAAGACUGGUCAGCUAGAGUCUUGUAGAGGGGGGUAGAAUUCCAUGUGUAGCGGUGAAAUGCGUAGAGAUGUGGAGGAAUACCGGUGGCGAAGGCGGCCCCCUGGACAAAGACUGACGCUCAGGUGCGAAAGCGUGGGGAGCAAACAGGAUUAGAUACCCCUGUAGUC
This 465-nucleotide ribosomal RNA is filed under the name uncultured bacterium. RNAcentral's name for it is "bacterial SSU rRNA". It matches the Rfam family "Bacterial small subunit ribosomal RNA", at positions 338 to 795 of the family's 1533-position model. The record is from RNAcentral.